RNAcentral lists this ribosomal RNA (463 nucleotides) under Vreelandella stevensii. RNAcentral describes it as "partial 16S ribosomal RNA". It matches the Rfam family "Bacterial small subunit ribosomal RNA", at positions 338 to 795 of the family's 1533-position model. The record is from RNAcentral. Lineage: Bacteria; Pseudomonadati; Pseudomonadota; Gammaproteobacteria; Oceanospirillales; Halomonadaceae.
CCUACGGGGGGCAGCAGUGGGGAAUAUUGGACAAUGGGGGCAACCCUGAUCCAGCCAUGCCGCGUGUGUGAAGAAGGCCCUCGGGUUGUAAAGCACUUUCAGUGAGGAAGAACGCCUGGUGGUUAAUACCCAUCAGGAAAGACAUCACUCACAGAAGAAGCACCGGCUAACUCCGUGCCAGCAGCCGCGGUAAUACGGAGGGUGCGAGCGUUAAUCGGAAUUACUGGGCGUAAAGCGCGCGUAGGUGGCUUGAUAAGCCGGUUGUGAAAGCCCCGGGCUCAACCUGGGAACGGCAUCCGGAACUGUCAAGCUAGAGUGCAGGAGAGGAAGGUAGAAUUCCCGGUGUAGCGGUGAAAUGCGUAGAGAUCGGGAGGAAUACCAGUGGCGAAGGCGGCCUUCUGGACUGACACUGACACUGAGGUGCGAAAGCGUGGGUAGCAAACAGGAUUAGAUACCCGUAGUC